Molecule: transfer RNA, 72 nt
Filed under: Capra hircus (goat)
Lineage: Eukaryota; Metazoa; Chordata; Mammalia; Artiodactyla; Bovidae
Also listed under: 1 other name
Rfam family: tRNA
About the family: Transfer RNA (tRNA) molecules are approximately 80 nucleotides in length. Their secondary structure includes four short double-helical elements and three loops (D, anti-codon, and T loops).
Source: Rfam by way of RNAcentral
UCCCUUAUAGCUCAGUCAGUAAAGAAUCUGCCUGGAAUGCAGGAGACCCAGGUUUGAUUCCUGGGUUGGGAA